RNAcentral lists this ribosomal RNA (301 nucleotides) under uncultured bacterium. RNAcentral's name for it is "partial 16S ribosomal RNA". It matches the Rfam family "Bacterial small subunit ribosomal RNA", at positions 509 to 809 of the family's 1533-position model. The record is from RNAcentral.
CAGUAGCCACGGUAAUACGUAGGGUGCGAGCGUUAAUCAGAAUUACUGGGCGUAAAGCGUGCGCAGGCGGUUAUAUAAGACAGAUGUGAAAUCCCCGGGCUCAACCUGGGACCUGCAUUUGUGACUGUAUAGCUAGAGUACGGUAGGGGGGGAUGGAAUUCCGCGUGUAGCAGUGAAAUGCGUAGAUAUGCGGAGGAACACCGAUGGCGAAGGCAAUCCCCUGGACCUGUACUGACGCUCAUGCACGAAAGCGUGGGGAGCAAACAGGAUUAGAUACCCGCGUAGUCCCUGUCUCUUAUCC